This 253-nucleotide ribosomal RNA is filed under the name uncultured bacterium. RNAcentral describes it as "partial 16S ribosomal RNA". It matches the Rfam family "Bacterial small subunit ribosomal RNA", at positions 524 to 776 of the family's 1533-position model. The record is from RNAcentral.
UACGAACCGUCCAAACGUUACUCGGAAUCACUGGGCUUAAAGGGUGCGUAGGCCGCGCGGAGGGUGGGAUGUGAAAUCCCCCGGCUCAACCGGGGAAUAGCGUCCCAAACCGCCGUGCUCGAGGGAGACAGAGGUGAGCGGAACUGAUGGUGGAGCGGUGAAAUGCGCUGAUAUCAUCAGGAACACCAGUGGCGAAGGCGGCUCACUGGGUCUUUCCUAACGCUGAUGCACGAAAGCUAGGGGAGCGAACGGG